This 449-nucleotide ribosomal RNA is filed under the name Achaeta camerani. Its description in RNAcentral is "partial 16S ribosomal RNA". It matches the Rfam family "Bacterial large subunit ribosomal RNA", at positions 1817 to 2573 of the family's 2925-position model. Lineage: Eukaryota; Metazoa; Annelida; Clitellata; Enchytraeida; Enchytraeidae. The record is from RNAcentral.
UGCUUAUUGCUAAUAAAAAUAGUAAGUAAAUCCUGCCCACUGAUAAUUUAAAUGGCCGCGGUACCUUAACCGUGCUAAGGUAGCAUAAUAACUUGUCUAUUAAUUGUAGACUAGAAUGAACGGGUAAACGAAAUUAAAACUAUUACACUACAUCUAAUAAAAAUUAACCUAUAAGUGAAGAUGCUUAUAUAAAAUAAAAGGACAAGAAGACCCUAUGAGCUUUAAUUUAUAUUAUUACCAAUUACACAUAAAUCUUGGUUGGGGCGACCUAGGAUAAAUCAUCCUAAAUUAAAAAGACUGUCUAUCUAAAUAAAGAACCUAUAAUGAUCAUCAACAAAGUUACCUUAGGGAUAACAGGCUAAUCUCAUUCUAGAGUUCCUAUCUACAAUGAGGAUUGGCACCUCGAUGUUGGCUUAGAUUUCCUUCAUAUCGCAAAAGAUAUAUAAGUA